This 335-nucleotide ribosomal RNA is filed under the name uncultured bacterium. RNAcentral describes it as "bacterial SSU rRNA". It matches the Rfam family "Bacterial small subunit ribosomal RNA", at positions 28 to 351 of the family's 1533-position model. The record is from RNAcentral.
GACGAACGCUGGCGGCGUGCCUAACACAUGCAAGUCGAGCGAUGAAACCUUUCGGGGUGGAUUAGCGGCGGACGGGUGAGUAACACGUGGGUAACCUGCCUCAAAGAGGGGAAUAGCCUCCCGAAAGGGAGAUUAAUACCGCAUAAUAUGUUUUGAUCGCAUGAUCAAAAUAUCAAAGGAAUUUUCUUCGGAAUAUUCCACUUUGAGAUGGACCCGCGGCGCAUUAGCUAGUUGGUGAGGUAACGGCUCACCAAGGCAACGAUGCGUAGCCGACCUGAGAGGGUCGAUCGGCCACAUUGGAACUGAGACACGGUCCAGACUCCUACGGGAGGCUG